ACCCAGCUGCAGAAUCCCAAAUAGGACGAAACGCGCGUUAUGGGU
RNAcentral lists this non-coding RNA (45 nucleotides) under Schistosoma mansoni. The record is from RNAcentral. Lineage: Eukaryota; Metazoa; Platyhelminthes; Trematoda; Strigeidida; Schistosomatidae.